UUGUUAUUAAUUUUAUUUUAACUAAACAAAAUUGAGAAAUUCUCCUUAACAAAGUUGCACAGUACAGAAGAUUUGCAAUACCAACUGCCAGCAAGUUCAGGAUUCAGAAUAAUAAAUUUCAUAUGCAAAUGUUUUGUUGUGAGGUAUUUUCUCAACAUGUCCUCCACAUUUUUGUGUAAACAUUGUGAGCCAUCCCGUUCCCGUAUAUAUUCUGUGUUACCGAGAACGAUGAAUGGAGAAGAAUUGCAGUUGGUUUGCUCUCUUGUCCCAGUUCCUUUACAGUUUCCAUCCUAUAACAGGAAGAAUACUGCAACUCUCUGAUACUACUGAGCAACAGUUUCAAAUUAUAAACGUAUACAUUUAUACAAAAGGAUAUACCAACUCCUUACAGAAAAAAAAACAUACCAACAUGUAUAACCUACGUAUUAUAACAUCUGACAAAGUAAUCCAAGGAAAUCCCAAAAGUAAUUGCAUGUCCUGAUUAUCAAUUUCUAUAUUUGUCAACAUAUCCUGAGCCUCAAUAGUUCGCCUGGGAAACGAAUACAAUGUAUAGAAUUGAGUCAGAAAUAUAAAGGGAGCAAAUAUCGGAAUACCAUCAUAAAAGGACAAGCUAGAAGAAACAUAGAAAAAACCGAAACUGCAUAUAAAUGAAAAAUGAAAAUACAGAAGAAGUAAAAAAAAGUGAACAAAUAAAAAAAAGAAAACAGAAAAAAAAAAAAACAAUUUGACAUACAUAAAUCAUUUGAGCAAAUCUUGACCAUUUGUCAGUAUGUUUUCAGAUUUUCUCCUGAGAUUUAUCAUCAUCCGUUUGGUACACAAUAGUGUUGGCGUUGUGUUGUCCUCCUGAUGGUCAUUUUCAUGUUCACCCCUCGCCCUUACCGCCUCAAGGUUCAGGAAUUCCGCUUUUUUUCCCCACUCUCUUUUCUGUUCAAAUCGCAUCACACCGAAAAGGAUGGAUGACCAACUGAUAUGGAGGAAGGACACGGCCGCCCUAUUUGUUGUCGUGAGUUUCUAUCUAUGUGCUGAUGAUAUUCAUGUAGGAUGUUGGUGUUGGCGACAAACAAGCAAAUAUAUAGAUAGAUAUAGGUACCUCUGAAAGGCAGGUACCGUAUCUACCUUCCUACUAAAAUGAACAUAUAUUCUUACCGUGCAAACACUAGAGGCCUGGUUCAGAAUUCAGCAUCAGACACCUGCAUAGGUAUAUUGUAAGAAUUAAUAGCUGGGAUGGGAGCAAUAUUCCGCUAUAGUCGGAAGAAAUGGAAGCAUAUCAUAAAGCCAUAGAGGUGUCUAUCAAACACGGAAUCGGCAUUUUGGAGCUGUCAAAUAGAGUGAUAAUGUUCAGCCUUCAUUGCCCUGCAUUAUUGAAGGAAGUGAUAGUAAAAGAAAUGUGAGGACAUUGGAA
Molecule: long non-coding RNA, 1402 nt
Organism: Episyrphus balteatus (marmalade hoverfly)
Lineage: Eukaryota; Metazoa; Arthropoda; Insecta; Diptera; Syrphidae
Exons: 3
Source: RefSeq, a predicted model, not a curated record